GCGCGCAUGAAUGCAAGUGUCAGGUCAUUAUUUUUACUGAAUGAAUCACACACUGUUGUCAACAUCAUAACGAAUAAAAAAGUAUGCGGCUGCAUCAAUUCACGAGUUAUAUCGAAUUGAAAAUUGUGUUAAAUACUUUACUGCAUCAUGGAAUUUGACAUUGGACCAGAUUUAAUGGCAUCUGGUGAUCCUAGUAAUGCACUCGGUCAAAUACGUUCGUGUUAUUCAAAAUGGAAAGAGUUGAAAAUGGAACGCGAUGCUUUAAAAACAUCUUUAGAAGAAGCCAUCCAUAGAAUUACAGAGCUAGAAACCACCCUAGCACGAUACGAAGAAAACAACUUAACGAAUGAAAAAGAAAGAAAUGUUUUACUCCGGGCGAUUAGCACUCUACAUGAAAAACUAGCGAAAGAAGUUGACAUUGACAAGGACGGACCGUCGUCUGCUUGGUUAAACAAAGCUGUCGAAAAAUUGAAAUCAGAUUUGGAUGAAAAAAGUUUUUCGGUUGAUGCAAAUAAUUCAAUCAUUGAACGCUGUGAUAAAGAGACUAACGUUGAUAUUGAUCAAGGCGUUUCGAUCGGAAAUCCUGAAAGUAAUAUACAACCCGAAAUCGAAGUUAUUAGUGGCAAUGAUGAAUUUUUGUCGACAGACAAGUCUGAGGAGGAUGUACCAAAAUCGCCAUUAUUAGAAAAUCCGCCCAGAAAAACUGCAUCAGUGAGUCACCAUACAUUGGAAAAAUGCGACGAGCUCGUAAUACUUGUGACAGAUUUCAUGAUUCAUGGUGAUGAUAAACAUAAGAUAUCUCCAAGUGCUACAAUGCGUAGAACUUCUAAAUGUAAAAAGAAAAGAAAAUUUGUAAAGAAUAAAAAGGAUUUGGGCGAUACGAAGAGUACCACUUCUAAUUCCACGGAUUUUGGUUCUGCAAGACGUAGAAGAUCAUCGUCUAUGUCAUCGUUGAAGCCACAAAAGAGCACGCUGGAUAAAACCAUCAUCGGUGAAUUUGGAAGUUUAUGGCCUUGUAAUUUCUGCGAUGAAAUUUUCUCGAACUCUUCUGAUUGGACAAUUCAUCGAAAUGAAGGACACUCCGCACUUGUGAGAACUUCAAUAACAUGUAAAUAUUGCGAAUACGUUGCAUAUUCGUCGAAAAUGAUGGACAUCCAUAUGUCGAAGCGUCAUAAAAGACGUAAAAUAAGAAUUCGUCGGAAACUAAAUCCUGCAAAUGAAAAAAAUAUGAUUGAGAAAGCCGCAACUGAGAUGACCGAUAAAACAUGCGAAAUCUCUUCAUCCCAUACAACUUAAUUUCAUCGUCAGAUUAGGAAUGUUUCAUGAUUCCAAAGACCAAGUAGGCAUUAGGUGGUUGCCCUUUUGAGUGCACUAUACAUUAUAUAGAAAACGUGUAAGGAGCAAAACGGAAAACCUCAUCGAAAUACAUAUGAAGUGUUAGUCUACCAAGUACUGAAAACACAUCCAAAUUCGUGACCUGACUACGUAUUUUUCUUGGUUUGACCUAUACGAGCUCCGCUUAAGUAAAAAUGGAGCCAUUCAUCGGCAUUAAAUUGCCAUGUUUUCAAAUAUUUAAACUGUAGACGUCUUUUUCACAAGAAUCACUCGGUUUGUUUACUAGUAGGUAUCUAUUGUAAGUAUGAAUGUAAAUAUCAUAAAUACAAGUACAUUAUUA
This is an RNA transcript of Planococcus citri (citrus mealybug), 1675 nucleotides long. RefSeq lists it as uncharacterized. The transcript has 6 exons. Lineage: Eukaryota; Metazoa; Arthropoda; Insecta; Hemiptera; Pseudococcidae. The record is from RefSeq and is a predicted model, not a curated record.